GUCGCGCGCGUUCUUCGCUGGUUGCGAGCGUCGCAGCGCCUUUGUGCACAUGCAAGAGAGCGUUUUGGAGGGAUUUUUGCAGCCCUGGACCAGUAACUCCCUGGUUGCAAGCUGGAGAAGCAGGUCUUCGAGCCUCGUUGAGCUGAACGUGUACUCGUUGAAGCUGGUUUGGAAGUUGUUCUACCCUAAGCGAGAGGGUAUUUGACCCUUGGACCACUUCGUUUGGCCUUGGAGGGCCUUCUGGAAGCUUAACGUGAGGUAUUGAACUAAGCCAAAACAGGGAUUUAAGCUAUUCCUAUGUAUUAAGUGCAAUUGCGCCGAAAUUGGACAUUUCAAUCGUGAUUUGAUACGAUCUUUGUGCUUCGUGUU
This is a long non-coding RNA of Ananas comosus (pineapple), 369 nucleotides long. RefSeq lists it as uncharacterized. The transcript has 3 exons. The record is from RefSeq and is a predicted model, not a curated record. NCBI's taxonomy places the organism in Eukaryota, Viridiplantae, Streptophyta, Magnoliopsida, Poales, Bromeliaceae.